GUUGUGACCCAGAUGCAGAGGAAGCAAGAUAGCAAGAUGUGACUGCCUCGCCGAAAAAGAUCAGAACCCAGAUACCGACUUUCUACAGGAUGUUGAAAAAUCAAUGCAGAUUUCAUCUGCAUUUCUCUGAUGGCUAAGGAUGCUGAAAAUUAUAUACGUGCCCUGCACUGUGGCCUUGGCAGGACUGACCUCAUCUCUGCUAACCUUCGCUCAUUCAAGUCCACUCCAGACGCUCUGACUCCCUGCUGUGACUCCAAGCACCAAGUAAACUUCUGCUUCAGGUCUUCUCAACAUCUUCACCAACCUCAGAAGAUCCCUUGGCAGGGUUUUCUGUAGCUCAUCCCUUUAAUCUAUGCAGAUUUGCAAAUCUGUUUUUGCAGCUGGGAUGAGAAGUCCCUGAAAGUACCACCACCCCUCGUGCUUUUUGGACUAGGAUAAAAAUGAGCUGGAAGUAAACCAGCUCUGGAGAAGUCUAUGUUUUUCUGAUCAUAUGGGCAUCCCACACAAGGUGCUCUGGCUACAAGUACCUCUGGGUCCCUUAAGAAAAGCAAAUACACUCAAGAGGCAUUAUGGGGUUGAGGGCAAUCCGGGCUACAUAUAUAGACAGCAUAAAUUGGACCUGAUGGGUUUUAAUAAGAAGAGGGCAUGAAGUUGGGUGGGUAAGGAAGGGGGUGGUGGAUCUGGGAGGAGUCAGGAGAGCAUAGGUGAAUAGGAUGAAAAUGCUGUAUGAAAUACUCAAAUAACUAAUGACACACCCACAUAAAAACUAGAUGAGUUAAUGCCUGGGAGGUAGAGAAACAAAUGAAGGUAACAUCUGGCGGAAUAUAACUAUUUCUUUUAAAUUAGCCGUACAGAUAAUCCUUAAGCUUACAUUAGACUAUAAAUUAGCAAUCCACUUUGUAAGUUCUUGGGUAAUCACUAAUAUAGAAUACAAGAGUACAUCUUUCAAACAAACAGGGAAAGUACCAUGGAACACAUGACAAAGCCAGAACUAUCAACACUAUGGUGGUUUGCAGGAGAAUGUGUCCCAUAGCCUCAGGUGUUUCAAUACUCGGCCCCAGUUGGUGGUGCUGUUUGGGUAGAUUUAGGAAGUGUGGCCUUGCUGGAGGAAGUAUGUCACAGAGGGAAAACUUUGGGGCUUUCAAAUCUCACACCAUUCUGUAUUCACUCUCUUUACUUCACGCUUGCAGUUCAAGAUGAUGUGAAUCCCCAACUUCCUCCUCCUGUUGCCAGGCCUGUCACUGGCUGCCAUGUCUUCUUGCCAUGAUGGAACCACACUCUAGAACCAUAAGCCCAAAUAAACCCCUCAUUUUAUAACUAA
Arvicola amphibius (Eurasian water vole) is the source of this 1321-nucleotide long non-coding RNA. RefSeq lists it as uncharacterized. The transcript is spliced from 3 exons. NCBI's taxonomy places the organism in Eukaryota, Metazoa, Chordata, Mammalia, Rodentia, Cricetidae. The record is from RefSeq and is a predicted model, not a curated record.